RNAcentral lists this long non-coding RNA (625 nucleotides) under Phoenix dactylifera (date palm). RNAcentral's name for it is "long non-coding RNA (PDAC_LNC020277)". Lineage: Eukaryota; Viridiplantae; Streptophyta; Magnoliopsida; Arecales; Arecaceae. The record is from RNAcentral.
UCACUCUUGAAGCUGUGACAGUUUUAUUUAUGAACACUGAAAGAUCUAAUGUGGCUUUUAUUUUCUCUCGGUUUUUCUAUGAACCAUGUGGUUGUGGGAACUUCCAAGAUCUUAACUUUAGUAAAUUAAUUUAUGUUAAUCAAUUGCUUUUUAGUAUAUUUAAAUUGGUGAUAAAAUUGUGUUGUGAUUUUUUGGGUGGCUUUAAAUUAUUGUAAAUGCUAGCUAUCAUCUACUUCUCCAUAGGCAAGUUACUGCACUGUGUAUGAAAGAAGGAAUUUAUUAGAUGUUUUUGAAAAAACUAUAAAAGAAUAGAAUAUGCAUUGGAAAUAUGUUUAAAGGUAUAAAUUAUAACCUAUUAGCUGAACCAAAUUAUUUGGAUGGGGCUUGAUGUUUAUGGUUAUAAAUGAAACCUAUAUUAUUUUAAAAAAUGGAGGCUUUAACCUGUCUAAUGUUUUAUCAAAAAAUCCAUUACCUUUUAUUAAGGGAAUGUCAUGAAAGAACUAAUUCCGAUAGGUUACUUUGUUAACCUUGAACUCAGCACAUGUGAUUCAGAUGACUGAUUAAGAACCAAUUAUUGACUAAGGCUCAAAUCUUAUAAUCAAAGCACACGUUCCUCAGCUCAUGU